Molecule: transfer RNA, 82 nt
Filed under: Neurospora crassa
Lineage: Eukaryota; Fungi; Ascomycota; Sordariomycetes; Sordariales; Sordariaceae
Also listed under: 7 other names
Description: tRNA-Leu (CAA) (tRNA-Leu-CAA-1-1, tRNA-Leu-CAA-1-2)
Rfam family: tRNA
About the family: Transfer RNA (tRNA) molecules are approximately 80 nucleotides in length. Their secondary structure includes four short double-helical elements and three loops (D, anti-codon, and T loops).
Source: RNAcentral
GGCUGGAUGGCCGAGCGGUCUAAGGCGCUAGACUCAAGUUCUAGUAUCGCAAGAUGCGUGGGUUCGAAUCCCACUCCAGUCA